AUUAUUUUGGCAGAUUAGUGCAUUAAAUUUAGAAUUUAAUUAUGUGAUUAUAUUACAAAUAAU
This 63-nucleotide transfer RNA is filed under the name Mocyta fungi. RNAcentral's name for it is "tRNA-Leu". Lineage: Eukaryota; Metazoa; Arthropoda; Insecta; Coleoptera; Staphylinidae. The record is from RNAcentral.